UGUCACUAUACCACAAACUCAAGACUCAUCUGUCUGAAGGAAGUGAUCCGUGCACUGGUCUAUCCAGAUCAAUCACCAUCCCCAUGAUGAUCCUUUGAUUAGGAGCAAUUUAGAAAUUAACCAUCAAUGACACAUGUCUCAAAUUCUCCACUCUUUGAGAAUAUGUGUCAUUAUCUUGUUAAUCCCUUGGAUGAUUCAUGGAUA
RNAcentral lists this long non-coding RNA (204 nucleotides) under Elaeis guineensis (African oil palm). Its description in RNAcentral is "long non-coding RNA (EGUI_LNC077454)". The record is from RNAcentral. Lineage: Eukaryota; Viridiplantae; Streptophyta; Magnoliopsida; Arecales; Arecaceae.